UCCAGAUGCCUCUGACUAUUUCAUCAGCACUACUAAGGUCACGUGGUUUGAUGCAAAGUCAGCAUGUGAUGGGAUGUCGGGACAUCUGUUGAUAGUUGACAAUCAGGCUGAACAUGACUUUAUCCAAACAAUUGCAGGAACUUUAGAACACUGGAUAGGCAUGCGGUGUUACAAUGUAAAGAAUUGUAUAUGGGUAGAUGGUAGAAGUAUAGACGGAGGUUACAC
This is a long non-coding RNA of Ruditapes philippinarum (Manila clam), 225 nucleotides long. RefSeq lists it as uncharacterized. The transcript is spliced from 3 exons. The record is from RefSeq and is a predicted model, not a curated record. NCBI's taxonomy places the organism in Eukaryota, Metazoa, Mollusca, Bivalvia, Venerida, Veneridae.